Molecule: ribosomal RNA, 458 nt
Filed under: uncultured bacterium
Lineage: Bacteria
Description: bacterial SSU rRNA
Rfam family: Bacterial small subunit ribosomal RNA
Source: RNAcentral
AACGAACGCUGGCGGCAGGCUUAACACAUGCAAGUCGAACGCCCCGCAAGGGGAGUGGCAGACGGGUGAGUAACGCGUGGGAACGUACCUUUCAGUUCGGAAUAACUCAGGGAAACUUGUGCUAAUACCGGAUACGCCCGCAAGGGGAAAGAUUUAUCGCUGAAAGAUCGGCCCGCGUUGGAUUAGCUAGUUGGUGGGGUAAAGGCCUACCAAGGCGACGAUCCAUAGCUGGUCUGAGAGGAUGAUCAGCCACACUGGGACUGAGACACGGCCCAGACUCCUACGGGAGGCAGCAGUGGGGAAUAUUGGACAAUGGGCGCAAGCCUGAUCCAGCCAUGCCGCGUGUGUGAUGAAGGCCUUAGGGUUGUAAAGCACUUUCACCGAUGAAGAUAAUGACGGUAGUCGGAGAAGAAGACCCCGGCUAACUUCGUGCCAGCAGCCGCGGUAAUGUCUGUACU